AAGCUAAGUUAGGGUUAGGGUUAGGGUUAGGGUUAGAAAUGGAGCUCCCGAAUACACCAUUCGCACGCGUCGCCGCUCCUUUCUCUCCUCUUCUCCCUCCAGAUUCUCAUGAAGGUGCUUGAUUGAAAAUGAGGCGAAGUUCGCAGCGACGGUGGCAGCGAUAAACUUCUACACUUUCUAUCAUGAUUUGCGGACACUGAGAAGGGCUGUUUUGUUCCUCAGAAAAGUAUGGAGAAAGGAUUUUCGAGAAAAAUACUUUUUCAUGGAAAUCCUUUUUUUUAGUUUUCUGCCUGUGUGGUUUCAAGAAAAAUUAGUUUUUUUUGGAAUUUCUUUUUUUAGAUUUCACAGAAAAUUAGUGUUUUCGUUUUUCACAGAAAAAUUCAGAAAAUGAAAAUACUAGUUUUCCAUUAAAUAUAGAAAUUCUUUUUUUUUUCAAAAAAGUUAGUUCUUUUGGAACCAAAAUGGAUGGGAAAACUCAAAAAAUGCUUUUUUUUUCAUGAAAAACUUUUUUUUCCAUACUUUUUCAACAAACCAAACAGUCCCUGAAUGACUUACAGAUCACGAAUUCUGCGUAUUCAUUUUGUCAUGUCAGCGGAAGGAUGGAAGAGCCUAAUGUGGAAGUAAGUUCGAUUUGCGAAGAUUCGCAUACAUUUUUGUUAAGUUUUAUGCAUUGAAAUCACAAUGAGAUGCCACUGGAGGAAUGAAUUGAGUUUAUGCAAGAUAUGCUCGAAGAGUCCGACAGCGGCAGCGAUUUAUUAGAUGAUGAUAUUUCUCGUCAGCAAGCAGUAAACUUCUAUACUUUCUGUCAUGAAUUGCCGACACUGAACGACUCAUCAGUCGCUGAUUCUGUGUAUUUAUUUCGUCAUGUCAAGCAGAAGGAUUGGAAGAACUUAGUGCGUAAGUAUGUUCGAUUUGCGAAGAUUCGCAUACAUUUUUGGUUAAGUUUUAUGCGUGGAAUUCACAAUGAGAUGCUGCUGGAGGGGGAAUGAAUUGAGUUUAUGCAAGAUCUGCUCAAAGAGUCCGACAGCGGCAGCAAUUUCUCAGAUGAUGAUAUUUCUCGUCAGUGAGUAGUAAACUUUUAUACUUACUGUCAUGAAUCGCAGACUCUGGACGACUUAUCGGUUGCUGAUUCUGUGUAUUCAUUUCGUCAUGUCAAUCAGAGUAAGUACGUUCGAUUUGCGAAGAUUCACAUACAUGCUGGGCACAGUUUUAUGCUUUGAAUUCGUAGUUACAGAUCAAUUGAUGAAGAUUUGCAGGUGAGAACAAGUAGUUGUACCGUGCGACGAGAAAUGAACUCUUUUAUUUCCGUCCCUGCAUGAUUCAAAGGUGCGAUCGGAAUAGGGGUUUCCGGGUGUUAUCUCUUUAUCAAUUAGGGUUCAUGAGACUCUGUAGCUGGCGAUACAGCUCUCACUGUUCGCAAGCCAGUUCAUGUUCGGCUCGAAAUGAGUUCGGGAUCAAUUGCUUGUUUAAUUACAAGCUGAAUUUUUUUAGCUUGCAACGAGAUUUGGAGAGUUCAUCAUGACGAGAAGGAGAGUCGGAGAAAACAGAUUCAGUGGUCAGUUCCAAGGGCUUUUAUUUGCAGAAGAGAGGAAAUUAGUAGCACUAGACAUGAUCUUUCAUGGGGAAAUCAUCAUCUUCUUCUUCUUCUUCUUUUUAAUUCUAUUUGUGUAUAUUUGUAAAAUGUUUGUUAUUGCUUUAUUGGGUAUACUUCACCAUGAGGAAAA
This is a long non-coding RNA of Ananas comosus (pineapple), 1724 nucleotides long. RefSeq lists it as uncharacterized. The transcript is spliced from 3 exons. Lineage: Eukaryota; Viridiplantae; Streptophyta; Magnoliopsida; Poales; Bromeliaceae. The record is from RefSeq and is a predicted model, not a curated record.